Molecule: long non-coding RNA, 3722 nt
Organism: Dromaius novaehollandiae (emu)
Lineage: Eukaryota; Metazoa; Chordata; Aves; Casuariiformes; Dromaiidae
Exons: 3
Source: RefSeq, a predicted model, not a curated record
CCGCGGUCACUGCAGCAAUUAGAGAGCACUAUUCUACUAACAGAGAAGACGUGGCAGGACCCAGGGCAGUGCCAGCUAUGUGCCCAAGUAACCUGCUAGCUUCUCAAGGGGGGUUUGCCACCCCACUUGCAGAUGUGUGUCCUAACCACUGAUUCAGUGCUCUCAAUUCCAGAAUCUGAGACUGAAAUUUACUUUUUUCAAUGUUAGCACUUGAUACUGCUGUGCUGACAAAAAACCCUGGUUUUUGGAUGCUGUGUUGUCACUGAGAAAUCCUCUACCCGGGAUAGUAUACUCCACAUGACAAAGCAGUCAGGCUUAAUUAGCUGCUUUUCCAGUACUUGCUCAUUUCCUUUUGGUUCUUUUUAUGAGGAAGGAAAGGGACCGAUAUAGUUCUAAGGGUAAAAGAUCAUUUUCAUACGAAGAUUUAAUGAAGAAUUUAGAGGAAGAGGGUAAAGCAAAACAGCAAAUAUUUUUGUGUGAUUUUAGCUGUUCAAUGGGAAGCUCUAGGCAGACAUGAAUUGAAUGGAAAUGAUAAGAGUAAUUUUUGUAGGACAGAAGUUUCUCUUUUAAUUUUUUUAAGGAUUCUUGAGCAUCUGGGAGUUGUAGAAUUUUUUUUUCUUCAAAUCUUCAUAACUGAACUUCUACCAGUCCACAAAUCACAAAUUCAGGUUCCAAGCACAACUAUACUUACUUCAGAUCACUGUUAGCAGUUCCACGGGGAGAACUUUACCCAAACAGAACGCAGCGCUUCAGAACAGAGUAUUCAAGUGGGAUGAAGAAAACAAUACUGAACAGGAAGGCAGACCACAGAAAGAGAAAGGUCACUGGAUCUUGGCAUUUGUAAAAAGGAUACAUGUGAACAAUAGAAGCGCCGCGAUUAGGGAAACCUGUCCAGCCUAAUCUGUUUUUAGAAAACAGUGGUAUUUCCUUGGACACAGGACAAAGAGAACACCUGUCAGUUGUGGACUGCAGAGUCUACUUCUUGAGAUACUCUGAAUGCGUUGGUCACAAAUGCUUACGGAGGGAAUGAAAGAAUAAGGCAUAUUUUCACAACAGACAGUUAUAAACAGAAAUUUGUUUUAAUUGUAACAAGCCUGCAUUUUUUAAAAAAUCAUUUCUCGUUUCUAUCUUCAUUUUACAUUUCACAAUUUUCACUCGAAAUUUACAAGAUCCAUGAUUAAGAAGGAAAAAAAAAAGAGUCAACAAGCUAGAGGUCCCUUGCUUUAAAAUAAUUGCUGCUGCAGCAUGGCUGAGCUAGAAAAAGAGUUGUAUCUGUAAAACAAAAGUCUAAAAUAGUUACUAGUGUGGGGAAGGAAAACCCACAAAACCCAGAAAGUCACAGCCUAAUAAGUCACUAUUCUUCCUGUAGUCAACAUAUAUAGCCUCAAGGCUUCUGUCAGAUUUUAUCCCAGCUGAACUUGUGGUGUUGCAGAGUACCGAGGCAGGAGAGAAUGGCCCAUGAGACCCAAAGGGUUGGUUUAAUUUUUUUUUUUUUUAAAGCACAUUGAGUGCCAGUAUUAAAUCAGCUUCUUCAGUCAGAGCCAAAGCAGACUUCAAUCCCAUAACCUUAGUGAGAGUUCUGACCGGGAAAAGAGACUUUUUGUCUCCUCGUCUCCUCCUCUAGUUAUCUUUUGGCUAUUCAGACUCUAAGGAACUUUUGGGUGUACCCCUGUCUUUCCAAUGCAUAUAUACACACAUAUAAAUGCUUCUUUUGAGGAGACGAAUGAAAUCUAAAGAGAGCUGGAGACACAAGGAAAGAAAAAUGUCACUUCAGGAUUCAGUUACUGUUCAGAGAAAAAUAAAUAAUAAAACACAGAGAGAAGAGACUACCGUGACUGCUUUCAAAGUGAAAAUUUUCACUUUGAAAAGUCUCAAGCAGAUAAUACAAAAAUACGAAGCUAUUCUAGACUAGUCUUUAAAGCGAUCAGCUGUGCAAAGCAAUACGCAAAUCUCACUAAGUAUCAGUGAUAAAUAUCAGCUAAGUACACAGACCGCUUACGCUACACACAUCAAUAUCAAGGAGAAAAAGCUGUAGGAACAUUAAGAAACAUAAAAGAUUUGAGAUCAUAAAUUGUUUCAGGACAGAUUGGAACUGAACCAUCAGAAAUGGGAAAUGUGAGAGGAAAACGCCACAUUCUUGUGAUAUACAUGUAAAGGACAAAUGGAUUUCAGUCCUAAACAAAAUAGGGAUGAAUCAAGAUCAUGGUUUCAUUUUCCUUAUGCCAAUCCACCCAGCAAGAAAGCUGCACUCCAAGAAACAGGCUGACCUGUUCUAAAAAACAGAGCAAUUUGUGCAACCUCAUAAGCAUGAAGAAGCUUGGGAAAGGAAUGUAAUUUCUUGAGACAAUUCUCUGCACCACAUGACAUUAGAGAUUCCCUCUCCCUCUUCACCCCCCCAAGAAAUUGCUUGGGAACUCUUUCCUCACAACAUGGAAGAAAUUGGCUAGCGUGAAAAAAACCUAACACAGUUCUCUUCAGAUCUGUGAUCUUCAAAUUAAUCUGAGAUCUAUGUUAAAAAAAAAACACUUAAAAACACUUUACAACCUUUUUUAUGACAAGAGAAAAUAAUUAUUGACUACAAGAUGUGUGUAGCAGGCGUACAGGCAGCACACAGCAUUUUCUCAUUAUAUAGAAAAUACAGCAUGUGAAACACAGAAUGCAUUUCUCAUAAUAACAUAUACGAUUGCUUUGUGGGAUUUCCAGUUGAAAGAGGUGGAAAUCCAAGUCUGGAGAAAGCAAUUCAGAUCACUUCCUACUGUUGAAAAAUGAGUCCAAAUAAAUAUCAGCCAAAAUAUGCCCAGACCAACAAAUGGAAGGGAGAGCAAAGGAAGACAAACACCUCCCAAAUCCAAAUAUGCUGUGUAUGUCAUGGUAAAAGGAAAAGAAGUUGACCACAAUCUUCUCCAAGAUUUAAGAUACUCCACAGUUUCUCCACAGAAACUUAAGAUAAGUUCCCAGUAAAUCUGUGCCUUUACUUUGGACUGGUAUUAGUCUUUGUGUAUUAAAUUACGGCUGUCACAUUUGAUAUGCAAAAGCCACCUCAGACAAAUUGCUAAAAUACAUAGAUUAAUCUGUGCAUACAAAGAGGUUCUAAGGCCAAUUAACAAGUCUGUAAUAAACGAGCAAGGACAGCUUCGCUGUACUAGAGCAGCUGACUCUCCUUGCUGCUGUAGAAAUUGGCUAGCCACUUUUAACAACAGCAUGUGCUUGCCUGACACUGAUUUUGUAAUGCACGUAUCACUGCAGUCUAGCUCUUUGCUAUUUUUAUUAGUUUUAUUGGAAAGAACAUUGCCCUCCUGCACAGCUAGGGAUCAAACUGUCCUUCUUGAGCCACACCAUUUAUUAAACAAUUGCUUCACAAGAUUUUCAUCUUUGUACAAUAUACUGAUCUGGUUGUUGACCCUAUGUCAUGUCAAAACAUGAGCUGCACAGAGUGUGAUUUGCUUGGAAUAACAAAUACUUUUGGAGAUGCUUUUUUCAGCAAACUCUUUCAGAUCCUUGGAUAAUUGAUGAAUUAAACCAAAAACACCACUGUACUUCCAGAGGCCUCAUUUCGAAGACUGAGAGGGAGCUAUACAAAUGGAACUAUGUAUCACAUUGCUUUUGGGGUAGUUAUGCUAAUACCUGUAAUAAAAACAUUGUGUUAUUUAACAGUGCAUAACAUUCUGUAGCAACUCUAUUGCCACCAGUUAAUCACAAUAAAAAGAGCUACUUAUUUUCCA